Molecule: unclassified non-coding RNA, 337 nt
Filed under: soil metagenome
Description: partial contains 5.8S ribosomal RNA, internal transcribed spacer 2, and large subunit ribosomal RNA
Rfam family: 5.8S ribosomal RNA (bases 1-120)
Source: RNAcentral
GAUGAAGAACGUAGCGAAAUGCGAUAAGUAGUGUGAAUUGCAGAAUUCAGUGAAUCAUCGAAUCUUUGAACGCACAUUGCGCCCCUUGGUAUUCCAUGGGGCAUGCCUGUUCGAGCGUCAUUUGUACCUUCAAGCUCUGCUUGGUGUUGGGUGUUUGUUUCGCCUCUGCGUGUAGACUCGCCUCAAAACAAUUGGCAGCCGGCGUAUUGAUUUCGGAGCGCAGUACAUCUCGCGCUUUGCACUCAUAACGACGACGUCCAAAAGUACAUUUUUACACUCUUGACCUCGGAUCAGGUAGGGAUACCCGCUGAACUUAAGCAUAUCAAUAAGCGGAGGA